Molecule: ribosomal RNA, 1332 nt
Filed under: uncultured bacterium
Lineage: Bacteria
Description: bacterial SSU rRNA
Rfam family: Bacterial small subunit ribosomal RNA
Source: RNAcentral
AACGAACGCUGGCGGCGUGGAUAAGACAUGCAAGUCGAACGAGAGAAUUGCUAGCUUGCUAAUAAUUCUCUAGUGGCGCACGGGUGAGUAACACGUGAGUAACCUGCCCCCGAGAGCGGGAUAGCCCUGGGAAACUGGGAUUAAUACCGCAUAGUAUCGCAAGAUUAAAGCGGCAAUGCGCUUGGGGAUGGGCUCGCGGCCUAUUAGUUAGUUGGUGAGGUAACGGCUCACCAAGGCGAUGACGGGUAGCCGGUCUGAGAGGAUGUCCGGCCACACUGGAACUGAGACACGGUCCAGACACCUACGGGUGGCAGCAGUCGAGAAUCAUUCACAAUGGGGGAAACCCUGAUGGUGCGACGCCGCGUGGGGGAAUGAAGGUCUUCGGAUUGUAAACCCCUGUCAUGUGGGAGCAAAUUAAAAAGAUAGUACCACAAGAGGAAGAGACGGCUAACUCUGUGCCAGCAGCCGCGGUAAUACAGAGGUCUCAAGCGUUGUUCGGAAUCACUGGGCGUAAAGCGUGCGUAGGCUGUUUCGUAAGUCGUGUGUGAAAGGCGCGGGCUCAACCCGCGGACGGCACAUGAUACUGCGAGACUAGAGUAAUGGAGGGGGAACCGGAAUUCUCGGUGUAGCAGUGAAAUGCGUAGAUAUCGAGAGGAACACUCGUGGCGAAGGCGGGUUCCUGGACAUUAACUGACGCUGAGGCACGAAGGCCAGGGGAGCGAAAGGGAUUAGAUACCCCUGUAGUCCUGGCAGUAAACGGUGCACGCUUGGUGUGCGGGGAAUCGACCCCCUGCGUGCCGGAGCUAACGCGUUAAGCGUGCCGCCUGGGGAGUACGGUCGCAAGAUUAAAACUCAAAGAAAUUGACGGGGACCCGCACAAGCGGUGGAGUAUGUGGCUUAAUUCGAUGCAACGCGAAGAACCUUACCUGGGCUUGACAUGUAAUGAACAACAUGUGAAAGCAUGCGACUCUUCGGAGGCGUUACACAGGUGCUGCAUGGCCGUCGUCAGCUCGUGUCGUGAGAUGUUUGGUUAAGUCCAGCAACGAGCGCAACCCCUGUUGCCAGUUACCAGCACGUGAAGGUGGGGACUCUGGCGAGACUGCCCAGAUCAACUGGGAGGAAGGUGGGGACGACGUCAGGUCAGUAUGGCCCUUAUGCCCAGGGCUGCACACGUACUACAAUGCCCAGUACAGAGGGGGCCGAAGCCGCGAGGCGGAGGAAAUCCUAAAAACUGGGCCCAGUUCGGACUGUAGGCUGCAACCCGCCUACACGAAGCCGGAAUCGCUAGUAAUGGCGCAUCAGCUACGGCGCCGUGAAUACGUUCCCGGGUCU